Molecule: long non-coding RNA, 1279 nt
Organism: Brachypodium distachyon (stiff brome)
Lineage: Eukaryota; Viridiplantae; Streptophyta; Magnoliopsida; Poales; Poaceae
Exons: 2
Source: RefSeq, a predicted model, not a curated record
UAGACUUGACUGUUGGGACCCACUUUUCUUCCUUUUCCCCAUCUCGUCUAGCCAGCUGCUUCUUCUCCGCUAGAUAUUCUCAGCCCGACGCCUCCAAAAUCCUCCAAGACGCCAACCCAGCCCAGUCUAGAGCAUCUGCUGCAAUCUCUUCUCCGCCACCGGCCGGACCCAUGCUAGCCACCUCCCCGCGCUGAGGCCGCGAUCCUCUCCGGUGGCUGGGCUGGAGGAGGGCUCCAAGCCAUGCCAGAUCCUUCAAUUUCGGCACGGGGCUCCAUGCGGCGGCUCGGCGACGAGGAGAUGGCGUCGGAGAGCCUCGGCGUCCUCCUCCCGGCCGCUUCCGCUGCCAAGAGCCACCUCCCGCCUCGGCCUCUUGUUCCCGCUCGCUGUAGCCACCACGAGCGCGUCGGUGUGGGGCCGACAAAGUCAACUACUCCCUCUUAAAAUUUUAAGCACGAACUUCAAUAGAAGUCUUAGAGCAUGUACAGCGUUGAUCAACAAGUGAUGCUAAGAGGGUUCUGAAAAGUGUUGGAACCAAUGGUAGCCCUUGGAGCACCUCUAGUUAAGAAAAAUCUACUAGAACCGGAUCACGUAGUUGCAUCGGUUCUAAAGGAAUCUUUGACCUGCUUUGGCCGAUGUGCGCACAAGAGCAGGGGAGUUUGGUGGGAUUUUUUAUUGGAGAUAUCUCUGACUAGUGGGUUCAAGUAUAGAUGCUAAGAUUAGUACAUAUUGCAACAGUUUUUUGGUUUGUAGCAUCGGUGCUUGUUAUAAACCAAACGGAAGGUGUAUCGUUUAAAGUUGGGGCUUCGACUUUACUCGAGUCUAGCAAAAAACAUUUAGCUAGACACGCUGCAACGGCUAGACUCAGUCUUAUCUUUUUCUAGCACCUGCUUGGCAAACAUUGCACAUGCUCUAACCUUACUUGUGGCAGCGAUAACUUUUUCUUUUUUUGAAAAUGAGGAUAUCCUUGUCCUAUGCAUACUUGCAGCGAUAGCUACAUCCAGAUGCCUGUUCAGGCGCCUAAAUCUGAAGCAAGAGCGAACUGGCGAGGUUGUGACCGUAGCAAAGAUGCCGACCACCACUAUGACAGGCCAUGUUCAUAUGAUCACAUCGGCAGACUUCACACCUAGGGCCAACAAUAAACAGGAACUCAAUCGUGUUUAAGAGUUAUGAAAAAAAGGAAAAUCUAGCAAACAAUAAACAAUGUUGAGUAGUGAAAUCAACUGGUUUCUUUUUUGUUUUUCCUGUUCUUCAAAUGCAAAUCAGUUUGUUUGAAUUUAUA